GAUGAAGAACGUAGCGAAAUGCGAUAAGUAAUGCGAAUUGCAGAAUUCAGUGAGUCAUCGAAUCUUUGAACGCACAUUGCGCCAUGUGGUAUUCCGCAGGGCAUGCCUGUUCGAGCGUCAUUUCAACCCUCAAGCUCUGCUUGGUGUUGGGCCACGCCCCCGCGGCCGGCCCCAAAGCUAGUGGCGGUGCCGUCUGGCUCUAAGCGUAGUACAUCUCUCGCUCUAGGGCCCGGCGGUUGCUUGCCAGAACCCACACUCUUAUGGUUGACCUCGGAUCAGGUAGGGAUACCCGCUGAACUUAAGCAUAUCAAUAAGCGGAGG
RNAcentral lists this unclassified non-coding RNA (321 nucleotides) under soil metagenome. RNAcentral describes it as "partial contains 5.8S ribosomal RNA, internal transcribed spacer 2, and large subunit ribosomal RNA". The stretch from base 1 to 120 matches the Rfam family "5.8S ribosomal RNA", at positions 35 to 154 of the family's 154-position model. The record is from RNAcentral.